GAGAAGGUGACAGUAAUGACCACAGCCCCUGCUUAUGAUACUAGGUACCAGCUUGGGGCUCAGUUUUAUUUACGCCACUUACUCGUCACAAGAGCCCUAAGAGGUGAGUACUGGGCCCCACUUUUAGGACUGGGAAGCUGAGGCAAAUGGCGUGAUCUGCUAGUAAGCGGAAGAUCUGGAAUUUGAACCGCGUCUGGGUGACGCGGCAGCCCCCGGCGAAGGGAGCAUUUUCUGUCCCUCGGGGGUGGAGCCCCCAAGCCGGCCAGACUCCACUGCGUCGGUGGUCCGAUGGACAGAAGGGGCUUCUCUGCGGAGGACCGCGUGGACUCGCCGUAUCACACGACCGCAUCCGCGCUCCCCUUCUCCAGCCCCGGGCGUCAGCCCCCCGGCUGCUGAAGCCCGUCCUGGCUCCGCGCUUUAAACGCGGUGCGCCCAGCUCGAGGGCGGCAAUCCUGCGCCCGCACUUCUCUCCAGAUCUUCCAGCUGCCGUUUGGGACCUCUUCUUCUCUUCGGUGCUGUCUGGGCCAGCCGGAGGGUCACCUCUCCUAUGAUGAAGUACUUCAGGCUUUUUCACUGUGGUUGCUUACUAUUUCACCCCUGUGACAAGACCGCCACUACUCCAUGGCUGUGGGCUGAUUUCUGGCCAUCGCUUUGACAAAUCGCCAGAUUUCUCUGAAGAGUUGUCUGUCCGCAUUGCCACCAUCCCUCCACCAGCCGCACUCCUCCAUCUCCCCAUUAUGGGUUCCACUCCCGGUAUCAUAAAAAUUGUUUUUGCCAAGAUCACCAGUGACUUUCAUGUUGCUAAGUCUACUAUACACUUUUGAGCCU
Molecule: non-coding RNA, 828 nt
Organism: Vicugna pacos (alpaca)
Lineage: Eukaryota; Metazoa; Chordata; Mammalia; Artiodactyla; Camelidae
Source: RefSeq, a predicted model, not a curated record